GCAAUCGCGGCCCUCUGGGUCGCCUGGCCACGUCGGCGGCGAGAGCCCUGGCGGUGCGGGGAGCAAUCCCCGCUUCAGGUUGUUCGCUAACACCCGUGUCUACUACCUUCUGUUGCUUUGGCGGGCCGCUUCGGCGCGGCUCCGGCCGUCUGUGCCCGCCAGAGGACCCCAAACUCUUUUAUUUAGUGACGUCUGAGUACUAUAUAAUAGUUA
Molecule: unclassified non-coding RNA, 213 nt
Filed under: uncultured fungus
Lineage: Eukaryota; Fungi
Description: sequence contains ITS1, 5.8S rRNA gene
Source: RNAcentral